This 535-nucleotide ribosomal RNA is filed under the name Bacteroidales bacterium 33bM. RNAcentral describes it as "bacterial SSU rRNA". It matches the Rfam family "Bacterial small subunit ribosomal RNA", at positions 1 to 527 of the family's 1533-position model. Lineage: Bacteria; Pseudomonadati; Bacteroidota; Bacteroidia; Bacteroidales. The record is from RNAcentral.
UAGAGUUUGAUCAUGGCUCAGGACGAACGCUGGCGGCGUGGAUUAGGCAUGCAAGUCGGACGGUAGGGCUUUAUCGUAAGAUAGAGUUUGAGAGUGGCGAACGGGUGAGUAACACGUAGGAAUCUACCCUUAAGACGGGGACAACCCAGGGAAACUUGGGCUAAUACCGGAUGAGAGUGCGAGAGAUUGCAUUUAAAAGGAUGGCGAAAGUUGUCGCUUAGGGAUGAGCCUGCGGUCUAUUAGUUAGUUGGUGGGGUAAGAGCUCACCAAGGCGAUGAUAGAUAGGCGGCCUUAACGGGUGGUCGCCCACACUGGGAUUGAGAUACGGCCCAGACUCCUACGGGAGGCAGCAGUCGAGAAUAGUCUACAAUGGCCGGAAGGCUGAUAGUGCGACGCCGCGUGAACGAGGGAGCCCUUCGGGGUGUAAAGUUCUUUUCUAUACGAGCAGUGCUAUAUAUAUGGAUAGUAUAUAUAGAGGGAUAGUAGUAUAGGAAUAAGCAACGGCUAACUCCGUGCCAGCCGCCGCGGUAAUACA